RNAcentral lists this ribosomal RNA (789 nucleotides) under Neoleptoneta sp. 4 JL-2011. RNAcentral's name for it is "partial 28S ribosomal RNA". The stretch from base 392 to 789 matches the Rfam family "Eukaryotic large subunit ribosomal RNA", at positions 1 to 921 of the family's 3401-position model. The record is from RNAcentral. Lineage: Eukaryota; Metazoa; Arthropoda; Arachnida; Araneae; Leptonetidae.
GAAACGGGUGGGCCCUCGAAAUCCUGUGGCGGGAGGAUUCAGUCGGGCGGAGCCAGGCGCGCAGAGAGACCGAUUGAGCGGACCCCUGGAUGGAGGACGCGUCUGUCGCGCACGGAUGCCUGGCACAUCCGACGCAUUUCCUUCCGCACUGAGGACGCCGCAGCCGUUCGGGUUUCGCCCAAAGUCGGCCAUGAGGGUGGACGUCGGAAGGUUGCCGGUCUUCGGAUCGGUUGAUAGCCUGUCCACGCGUGGCACGACACCCGAACGAGGCUACAAGCGGGCCCCCAACGCGGGCCCCUGCCGUUCCUUUCCCAUCACGGGGCAGAGAGCGAAAGCGGCAAGCGCGAGGUGAUCAUCGCGAAGACUCAGCCCUGAGUGCUGUGCGUCGCGACGCCUUCGCUGAUGGCUUGCUUACGUCCCACGAGGGAGCCGGGAGGCUUGCGGCGAGAAAGUCGGUCACCCACCCGACCCGUCUUGAAACACGGACCAAGGAGUCUAACGUGUGCGCGAGUCAAGGGGUCUUGAACAGGCCCAGGGGCGAAGUGAAGGCGUGAGCCGUCCCUCUCGUUGGGGUCGGCCGUCCUCACAGGUCGGGAUCCCGAGUCCAAGGGCUCGGGCGCACCGACGGCCCGUGCCAAUACCGAGAAAUCGGUGGUUCGGAGCUAGAGCGCAUGCGCUGGUACCCGAAAGAUGGCGAACUAUGCCAGGGCAGGACGAAGUCGGAGGAAACUCUGAUGGAGGUUCGUAGCGGUUCUGACGUGCAAAUCGAUUGUAAGACCUUGGUAUAGG